RNAcentral lists this long non-coding RNA (803 nucleotides) under Mytilus galloprovincialis (Mediterranean mussel). Lineage: Eukaryota; Metazoa; Mollusca; Bivalvia; Mytilida; Mytilidae. The record is from RNAcentral.
AUCUUAUUAAACCUGCAGAUUGUAAACACGAUUGCUUUCAAGGACAGACAAGACUUCCAAGUGACAGUUUGUCUGAUGGAUCUUCCACUGGUAGUAGCUGAGUAGAUUGAAGAAAAUGUGCAACGGUUUUCAUUAUUUGAAUAUGACAGAUACCAAAUAAUUAUUAAAAAACCGUUUUAUAUAUAGAUAUUUACAUUGAUCAAACGCAAACACGUCAAAUCAAACUGUUCAAUAUUUUGAUUCAAAAUUUCAUACAAAUUAAUACAACUGGUUUACAUAAACAUUAUACAAUACAUUCUACUGAUGACCCUGAACAUUGUAUUGUUUUCGUAUUCUUAUAAUCACAUUGUUUUAAUUAGCGUGUUACAAGAAUUCAAUUUAAAUUUUUGUUUUUAAAUUUCAUACGGUGUCGGGAUUGCAUCCCUUAGAAAAUGUAGAAGAUACUUAGUCAGCCGUAAGCAGAUAAGUUAAGGAAGUACUUUUUGAGCUCAUUCAGUUAACGCGCUACCUAGAAAUACAGAGCUCCAGGGUAAGAGUCCCGGUAGAAACAAGCAGUUUUGUAAUGGAAUUCAUUCUCUACAGUUAUAAUGGGGCCCAUAUUGGGGUGAGGAAUUCUAGCAAGAGUAUGUUUGUGUGAGAGUCAUAAUGGUAUUGUAAUAUUUUAAUGUUUUGUAAAUAUUGACCUCAGCUUAUUCUCGAGAUUCGCCAAGAGAAGACAUUCCAGAACAUUUAUCCAGUUUCAACACAAACAGUAUUAGUGACUUGGUAUUACCAAUGUUAUUUCAACUGAUCGGCGGAGUUUA